UUUGCCAUCUGGACCUGUCCCCUCUCCCAGCACUGCAGCCCCGCUGGACAACGACACACCCCUCGGCUCCUCAGCCUGGGCAGCCCUCUCCCUUCUCCAUUCCCCAACUUUUUCCUCCGCCAUUCCCACCCUGGAGUUCUAUUCACCCCUCAAGCCUCUGCCUCGGCCACGUCUUCUGAGAAGCUCCACUCUGCUCCUAUUCAACAAAGAGAGAGAGAGAGAGAGAUCUGCUUUGAGACACUAAAUUCUUUAUCAAGCCCAGAUCCAAUCGUGCAGCAUGAGGCUCUGCACAUGGGUGACUACCUGGAUACAGACACUUGAUAUCAUGCAUUAAAGACUCUUGACUCUUAGAAACCCCUAUGGUUACUCCACAGGGUAAGCACCACCCCCGCCACCCUUCCCUGCCCACUGAAUGUGGCUAAAAGGCUAGACAGGCACACAAAGGAGCUACUGAGGCCUCUGAGAAUUGACCAGUAGCAGGUAGAAGGGGGUUGAAGACCAGAAUUUGAAGUGCCACCAAGGUUGCGGUGAGUUUGCCAUGUCCCUGACCCUGGUAUCCCCAGCCUGGACUAAAUACAACUCGAUAUCCAGAGGCGAGCAAGAGUGUGGGAGCAUGCCCGGGGCCCACACAGGCCAUGGAGUGCUACAUAGUGGACAGAUCUGAAGAGUGGACAAAGGCUUGGAAAACGGCACCAAAACCCACAGCAGAAUGGUAGGGACUGAGAACCUGAACCCAAGCUGGUGGAGUGCCUGCCACAACCAAGCUACCAACAACUCUCCAGAGGACUGAAUCAGGAACCACAGCUUCCUAACGUAAUAUUCAGAAUGUUCAGGACCAAUCCAGAACCACUCAGCAUACAAAGAAGGUGAAUAUCCUCAACUCGCAUGGGAAAAGAUGAUCAACAUCUUAUCUGAGCUAACAGAGACAUUGGAAUUAGCUGACAGACUCCACAGCAGCUAUUACAAAAAACACUCCAAGAAGUAAGGAGGGGUAUUCUUAACAUAAAGGGAAUGAUGAGAAGUCUCAGGAAAGAAACAGAAGGUAUAAAGGAGAACCAAAUGGAAAACUUCGAACUAAACAUACAGUAACUGAAAUUGUAAAAACCCACUAGAUAGGCUCAACGGCAGAAUGAAGAUGACAAAGGAAAGAGGCAGUGAACACGGAGAGAACCCUGGGCUGCACACCCUUCCUGACAAGCACAUUCUGGACCUAGGUUCCCUCUCAGUGUGUAUCACCAGCUGACCUCGAAGGAUGGCACCAGCCUACAGACGGGCCGUCCAUCUGUAGAAGGGAAGGGAUUCUUUCUUGUGAGAAUGAGGAACAUGAAACAUAACCGAAGGGGACUAGAAAUGACGAAGGCAGAGCAGACGGGCCUCCGCUGGGCUGACGCUUGUCAGCAGUAGGCUGAGCAUCAGGUUAUGUGGGAAAGGAGGUGGGAGAAUUUAGGGAGUUCGCAAUAUCGGAGCCCCAAGUUUUUCCGUGGUUCUUCAUCCUCUGUAAGGAGAAAGGUGUCAUGGGCAUGUAGAAAGCACUCCAGGUUAGGUAAGAUGUUUGUUUUUAAACUGUACAGGGUAAGAAACUGCUAAGAGAAUAGCCAUGUGUGAAAGAUGCAGCCGCACUGCCCAGAAAGGCAUGGCGCGUGGUAAGAAGGACUUCACAAGAGACAGCCCCAAAGAGUUGACUCCUACUCGGCUCUCUAUAUAAAGCUCAAACAGCCAGAGACCAAGGGAAGGGCCGAAGCAGCUCCCUCAAUGUGCAAAGCCAGAAUGCAGGCAAGAUCAAGGGCAACAUCCUGGCUCGUUUCCAGGGGCUGUGGCACGACCCACCCCCUGCGACAUUUCCUGUGGAUCCUUCCUCGGGUGGUCGUCCCUUUGAGAUGCACAUUGUCGGCUGCCAUCAUCUGCCUGGCCCUGCAGGAGCACAGCCAUGGGACUAAGAUAAGUACAGAAAGUCCAAGCCAGAUGGGCAGAUGGAAGUGGGCUACUCACUGGAGCUCAACAAAGCCUUGCGAGGUGCCCGCUGAUGCAGGUGGCACUCGUCCACACAGCCUGCACAGGCUGGAGCAGAGGCCAACGCACAGAGCAGAACCUGGUCCCCUGCCUGAUGACAACUUAGGACCACUGACUCUUCAAAACGGAUCCCGGUUCCAGGAAUUCCAUGUCAUGUCCUUAAAACAAGGUCACUGGGGCUGGGUGCGGUGGCUCACGCCUGUAAUCCAGAACUUUGGGAGGCCGAGGCAGGUGGAUCAUUUGAGGUCAGGAGUUCGAGACCAGUCUGGCCAACAUAGUGAAACCCCAUCUCUACUAAAAAUACAAAAAUUAGCUGGGCAUGAUGGUGGGUGCCUGUAAUCCCAGCUACUCGGGAGGCUGAGGCAGGAGAAUCACUUGAACCUGGGAGGCGGAGGUUGCAGUGAGCCAAUAUUGCACCACUGCACUUCAGCAUAGGUGACAGAGCAAGACUGUCACAAACAAACAAACAAGGUCAUUGGGUCUCUGCUUAAGUAUCAAAUAUAAAGACUCUCUUCCCCCAAAGAACAGUGAGUGCUUGGCCAUAAAUCAGCCCUGAUCAGCUGAAACCAGGCAUGUGUGGUAGCCCCAGCCUCC
This 2604-nucleotide long non-coding RNA is filed under the name Homo sapiens (human). Its description in RNAcentral is "non-protein coding lnc-FAM92B-4:1". The record is from RNAcentral. Lineage: Eukaryota; Metazoa; Chordata; Mammalia; Primates; Hominidae.